This 231-nucleotide ribosomal RNA is filed under the name uncultured bacterium. RNAcentral describes it as "partial 16S ribosomal RNA". It matches the Rfam family "Bacterial small subunit ribosomal RNA", at positions 546 to 776 of the family's 1533-position model. The record is from RNAcentral.
CGGAAUUACUGGGCGUAAAGCGUGCGUAGGCGGUUCUAUAAGUCGGGUGUGAAAGCCCCGGGCUCAACCUGGGAAAUGCAUUCGAGACUGCGUAGCUAGGGUGCGGAAGAGGGAAGCGGAAUUUCCGGUGUAGCGGUGAAAUGCGUAGAUAUCGGAAGGAACACCAGUGGCGAAAGCGGCUUCCUGGUCCAGCACCGACGUUCAGGCACGAAAGCGUGGGGAGCAAACAGG